AAUCUUUGUUGACAUCUUGCUUUCUUUUGAUUAAAUUCUCCGUAUAUUUUCUUCCCGAACUGUCUCAAGCAUCUUGCAAUUACCUUCAAAAAUUUUUUGGAUUCCCAUCUUGAAUGAUUGAAACAGAUGUUGUAAUUUUUUAAGUUGAUUCUCAAGAAUCUUGUAUGUUAUUUCAUCAUCCAUUAUGAAUCCAGAUUAGAGUGUUUGGUAACCAAGAGAUCAGAGAAAAUGGAAAAAGAUUGAGGUGAAAGAGGGAGAGAUUCAGAGAGA
This 270-nucleotide unclassified non-coding RNA is filed under the name Hevea brasiliensis (rubber tree). The record is from RNAcentral. Lineage: Eukaryota; Viridiplantae; Streptophyta; Magnoliopsida; Malpighiales; Euphorbiaceae.